GGCCUUCGGGUUGUAAACUGCUUUUGUACGGAACGAAACGGUCCUGGUAAAAACCUGGGAUCCCUGAUUGUACCCUAAGAAUAAGCACCGGCUAACUACGUGCCAGCAGCCGCGGUAAUACGUAGGGUGCAAGCGUUAAUCGGAAUUACUGGGCGUAAAGCGUGCGCAGGCGGUUUUGUAAGACAGGCGUGAAAUCCCCGGGCUUAACCUGGGAAUGGCGUUUGUGACUGCAAAGCUGGAGUGCGGCAGAGGGGGAUGGAAUUCCGCGUGUAGCAGUGAAAUGCGUAGAUAUGCGGAGGAACACCGAUGGCGAAGGCAAUCCCCUGGGCCUGCACUGACGCUCAUGCACGAAAGCGUGGGGAGCAAACAGGAUUAGAUACCCUGGUAG
RNAcentral lists this ribosomal RNA (388 nucleotides) under uncultured Hydrogenophaga sp. Its description in RNAcentral is "bacterial SSU rRNA". It matches the Rfam family "Bacterial small subunit ribosomal RNA", at positions 413 to 793 of the family's 1533-position model. Lineage: Bacteria; Pseudomonadati; Pseudomonadota; Betaproteobacteria; Burkholderiales; Comamonadaceae. The record is from RNAcentral.